This 392-nucleotide ribosomal RNA is filed under the name uncultured bacterium. Its description in RNAcentral is "partial 16S ribosomal RNA". It matches the Rfam family "Bacterial small subunit ribosomal RNA", at positions 523 to 918 of the family's 1533-position model. The record is from RNAcentral.
AUACGGAGGAUCCGAGCGUUAUCCGGAUUUAUUGGGUUUAAAGGGUGCGCAGGCGGCCAUUUAAGUCAGCGGUUAAAUCGUGGGGCUCAACCCCAUUCUGCCGUUGAUACUGGGUGGCUUGAUUGGGGUCGAGGUUGGCGGAAUUCGUUGUGUAGCGGUGAAAUGCAUAGAUAUGACGAAGAACACCGAUUGCGUAGGCAGCUGACCAGACCGCAAAUGACGCUCAUGCACGAAAGUGCGGGGAUCGAACAGGAUUAGAUACCCUGGUAGUCCGCACAGUAAACGAUGAAUACUUGUUUUCGGCGAUAUAAUGUCGGAGGCAAAGCGAAAGCGAUAAGUAUUCCACCUGGGGAGUACGCCGGCAACGGUGAAACUCAAAUGAAUUGACGGGG